RNAcentral lists this ribosomal RNA (301 nucleotides) under uncultured bacterium. RNAcentral's name for it is "partial 16S ribosomal RNA". It matches the Rfam family "Bacterial small subunit ribosomal RNA", at positions 509 to 807 of the family's 1533-position model. The record is from RNAcentral.
CAGUAGCCGCGGGAAUACGAAGGGGGCUAGCGUUGCUCGGAAUGACUGGGCGUAAAGGGCGCGUAGGCGGUUUGUCGAGUUAGAUGUGAAAUUCCCGGGCUUAACCUGGGGACUGCAUUUGAUACUGGCAGGCUUGAGUGUGGAAGAGGGUCGUGGAAUUCCCAGUGUAGAGGUGAAAUUUGUAGAUAUUGGGAAGAACACCGGUGGCGAAGGCGGCGACCUGGUCCAUAACUGACGCUGAGGCGCGAAAGCGUGGGGAGCAAACAGGAUUAGAUACCCGAGUAGUCCCUGUCUCUUAUAC